GGGGGGACCCCGGGAGCCCGGGAGACGCGGACAGAGAGCGGGGGCUGGAAACGCUCAAGGAUGGCUUCUCCUGUUCCACUCCCAGUCCAAGUUGUACCACAGAAGACAGCCACCGGGUGUCACUGACAGUUAUCCAUGGGCCUCUCUAAUAUCUGCACAUCUCACAAGCAGGGGUGUGGACGGCUUUGGCUCCAGCUGUCCUUUCAAGGAUGUUUGUAGAGCAAACAGCACUGGAGGAUAGAGAGAGGUUCUUCCUGUGGAGCAGAAUGGAGGCUUGUUUGCUCUCCAUAGAAUCAAGCACAUCAUGGUGGCAGCAUGUGGCCGAGCAAAAUCCCUCACCUCAUCAGCCAGGAAGCCAAAAGGAGGAAGGAGAAGGGGCUGGGUCCCUCGGUUCCUCUUGAGGGACUGGCGCUGCUUCGCUCAUGGUGCAGCGUGGAAGGGCGCUGGCACGUGGUGUGCAGAAGAGACAAUGCGACAGGUGGCUCGCUUCCUAACAGCCCGCUCCUGCAGUCCCUGAUCCAGCCUGGCGCUUGAGGUCCCCAGCGCCUCUGCUGAGGCUGUAUCUGUCUGUCUGCCAAAGCUAUCAUCACUUACUCAAUGUUUUUUUUUUUU
This is a long non-coding RNA of Marmota flaviventris (yellow-bellied marmot), 612 nucleotides long. RefSeq lists it as uncharacterized. The record is from RefSeq and is a predicted model, not a curated record. NCBI's taxonomy places the organism in Eukaryota, Metazoa, Chordata, Mammalia, Rodentia, Sciuridae.